Molecule: ribosomal RNA, 253 nt
Filed under: uncultured bacterium
Lineage: Bacteria
Description: partial 16S ribosomal RNA
Rfam family: Bacterial small subunit ribosomal RNA
Source: RNAcentral
UACGUAGGGCGCAAGCGUUGUCCGGAAUUAUUGGGCGUAAAGAGCUCGUAGGCGGCCUGGCGCGUCCGCUGUGAAAUCCCGGGGCUUAACCCCGGGCGUGCAGUGGAUACGGGCUGGCUAGAGGCAGGCAGGGGAGAACGGAAUUCCCGGUGUAGCGGUGAAAUGCGCAGAUAUCGGGAGGAACACCGGUGGCGAAGGCGGUUCUCUGGGACGGUACUGACGCUGAGACGCGAAAGCGUGGGGAGCGAACAGG